Long non-coding RNA from Gorilla gorilla gorilla (western lowland gorilla), 1098 nucleotides. RefSeq lists it as uncharacterized. The record is from RefSeq and is a predicted model, not a curated record. NCBI's taxonomy places the organism in Eukaryota, Metazoa, Chordata, Mammalia, Primates, Hominidae. The transcript has 3 exons.
AUGGUUCCUCUAUUUUAAGAUGAUAUGUAAACACUGGAAUGAUGGUUAAAAAUAUAUAUGUGGAAGAAUAAGACUGUUUUUUAUAAAGAAGCCCGAAGACUGAUUAAAUUGCAUUCAAAUAUUUGCAAAUUUAUUUUACAGAUAGUGCUAAAUCUCUGUUCUCAGUUCCCAGAAACAAGAUUAGACUAUUUUUCUUCCUGUUUUGAAAAAAUUGGAUUGCUCUAAAAAGAAGGCAAGCCUACUGUACUUGAUUCUGGGCAACUUGAGAAAAUGCUGCAGGAAAGUGGUGCUCUCCAUUAUUCAAUCCUUUCACCAGCUUCCAGUGUGAAUCUUCUGUGAGAAAUGGCUCCCAGCCGCAGAAACCAGACUCAAAGUCACAGAUAGCUGCUGAAGGCACCAUCCUAAUUUCCUCAACAAGGCAAUGGUGUGAAAUGGCAAUGAGAUCGAUGAGUGUGAAAAUGGAAAGUACCAUAUGACUGAUGCAUCCCACACCCUUACCCAGACUCUUCAUAAUUGAGCUAGUCGCUCAACCGCAAAGACAUAAAGAAAGAAGCUCUCAAGAUAAAAGCCACUUUUGAUUGUAUAAAUGUUGAAAUUUGGCUUUAGGACAAAAGUUCAAACCAUUUCUUUCAUUACCUAGAUGUUUUAUUGGUUAAAAAAUGUCAAUCAUUGUGCUUUUUACAGAAUGCUGAACACCACCAUCCUUUAAAAAAUGAAAAUUAGCUUUCAAAAUCCGUCACCAUAAAGAUGUGUGAAAGCAACAUGGUGACAUGGUGCAACCACCUCUGUACAAACCUUGGUGAAUUGCUUGGCUGUUUUUACUAAUGUGUUCCUGUACACGUAAAAGAAUAUUUUUUAAAGCUAAAAAUUCAAGAACUUCACUGUACUGUAAAAUAUAAAUCAAAUUCCGGUAACUAAAUUGAAGUUCUUCCAUUAAUAUCUCCCCUGUGUAAUUCAAAAACUUUAAAGCGAACUUAUAAAUAUCUGAAGAAAGCCAGGAGAGUCAAAUGCAUUCUGGCAAUUAUUAAAUGUCUUAUCAUACUAUAUGUGUUAAAUGUAAACAUUUGCAAAAUCUAAAAAAAUCUAUUCAUGUUAUAA